GCCGGAAUCGAACUCUGCACCUCUGCACUGUGAGGCCAGCAUGCUAACCGGUUGUCCACCGUGCCGUCCCCUCCCCUCCCCCACAUGCACCCUUUAAUUAUGUUUGCGAGGUGCACCUGGAUCAGCAGGAAAUGACCUGUCAGAAAACAAUGAGCUGAGGAAAUGGAGAGAGGAAGUCAGAAAUCACGAAGACAUCCUUGCCAGAGGCAGAGUUUCCUGGAAGAGGCCUUUCACGUUGGCAGACAACAUUAAGGGAUUACAGGACGAUGGGAGGCAGCACAGCGGCACGGCUGCACAUCAACAUGCGGCCGUUACGGUGGCAACCAGGAAUCCUUCAUCGGGAUCAAGAGAGCACAGGGUGGUGCUCCCGUCCCUGCUUCCACUGUUGGAAAGGGUAGGAGCAGCGUAAUGACUUUCAGUCGUAUGCAUUCAAAGCUAAAUAUGCAGACUCCAGCGUUUCCUCAACAAGUGUUACUUGUCUUUUAAAGUACAAAAAAAAAAUCAUCAAAGAAGCAGCUUGAUACUGGGAGAAAUAUUUGCUUUCCUGCCAAGAGUUGUAUGAGAUUGAUGCCAGAGGGGAAUAUGGUAAACAUUAGUCAAGCUCCCAUCCAGACGGGACAUUAUCUUCCUGCCAGAGCCUCUGAAGUCCACAUACUAACAUGUUAGACUUUAUUUAAUGUGCCUGGCAAGUUUA
This is a long non-coding RNA of Hippocampus zosterae (dwarf seahorse), 694 nucleotides long. RefSeq lists it as uncharacterized. The record is from RefSeq and is a predicted model, not a curated record. NCBI's taxonomy places the organism in Eukaryota, Metazoa, Chordata, Actinopteri, Syngnathiformes, Syngnathidae. The transcript is spliced from 3 exons.